UAAGUUCUUAUUAUGAUAUGUGACAAACAUAAUUAAAAAUUAAAAAUUUUUAAAAAUAUAUAAAUAAAUAGAAAAGCAUAAUUUUUUCAAAUUUCGAAUGAACCUGAACAAAUGGUGUCCAAGUUCAUUCAAAUCUAGACACUCAUGUGUCCAUAUUCAAAUUUUUUUAUUAAUUUUAUAUGGUUAUGGCUUCUUCUUUUUUU
This 203-nucleotide long non-coding RNA is filed under the name Gossypium barbadense (sea-island cotton). RNAcentral's name for it is "long non-coding RNA (GBAR_LNC013377)". Lineage: Eukaryota; Viridiplantae; Streptophyta; Magnoliopsida; Malvales; Malvaceae. The record is from RNAcentral.